GACGAACGCUGGCGGCGUGCUUAACACAUGCAAGUCGAACGGAAAGGCCUCUUUCGGGGGGUACUCGAGUGGCGAACGGGUGAGUAACACGUGAGUAACCUGCCCUUGACUUUGGAAUAACUUCAGGAAACUGGGGCUAAUACCGGAUAGGAGCUCCUGCUGCAUGGUGGGGGUUGGAAAGUUUCGGCGGUUGGGGAUGGACUCGCGGCUUAUCAGCUUGUUGGUGGGGUAGUGGCUUACCAAGGCUUUGACGGGUAGCCGGCCUGAGAGGGUGACCGGCCACAUUGGGACUGAGAUACGGCCCAGACUCCUACGGGAGGCAGCAGUGGGGAAUAUUGCACAAUGGGUGGAAGCCUGAUGCAGCAACGCCGUGUGCGGGAUGACGGCCUUCGGGUUGUAAACCGCUUUCGCUCAUGACGAAGCUUUGUGUGACGGUAGUGGGUAAAGAAGCACCGGCUAACUACGUG
Molecule: ribosomal RNA, 467 nt
Filed under: uncultured bacterium
Lineage: Bacteria
Description: partial 16S ribosomal RNA
Rfam family: Bacterial small subunit ribosomal RNA
Source: RNAcentral